Long non-coding RNA from Drosophila miranda, 564 nucleotides. RefSeq lists it as uncharacterized. The transcript is spliced from 2 exons. The record is from RefSeq and is a predicted model, not a curated record. Lineage: Eukaryota; Metazoa; Arthropoda; Insecta; Diptera; Drosophilidae.
UUCGUUGAUAAGUUUCGGGCACACUACCUGUUUGCACAUAAACAAUGCCGAAAGUGUGUUAUAAGCAAAAUUUCCGCGAUUUGUGGUUAAAUGUUGACGAAUUUAAGGAGUGACUACACAAAGUACCAACUGACCUGACCCCACAGAAGCGUACUGCUGCCUUUGUAAGGCAACAAUUCGGGCCAAGUUGUGCGAGUUACGGCAGCAUGCGUUGACUCAAAAACACAUUGCGUCCAUUUUAAAAUUGGACCAAUUGUCAAUGAAUCCUAGCAUGACACACCCACUGGUUGUGGGCCAGCAAUGACGACUGCAUUGCUUACCUCAGCCUCGGCCAUGUACACGCAUCAGCAGCAGCAGCAGCAGCAGGCGCAGCCUUCGGGUCGCAAUUCUAUACUGAAGCAGCAGGGGAGUGUCAAGGGCGACAAGCGGGUAUCGAUUCAACAAACAUCGAGCAGUAAUCAUAACAACAACAACAACAACAAUAAUGCCAAGUCAGCAACGAAUGUUGAAUAUAUCUCCGAAGGAGCAGGAAGCAAAGUGCGACUAACCGCAAAGCCGCCAGCA